This 497-nucleotide ribosomal RNA is filed under the name uncultured bacterium. Its description in RNAcentral is "partial 16S ribosomal RNA". It matches the Rfam family "Bacterial small subunit ribosomal RNA", at positions 28 to 507 of the family's 1533-position model. The record is from RNAcentral.
GAUGAACGCUGGCGGCGUGCCUAAUACAUGCAAGUCGAGCGAACAGACGAGGAGCUUGCUUCUCUGAUGUUAGCGGCGGACGGGUGAGUAACACGUGGAUAACCUACCUAUAAGACUGGGAUAACUUCGGGAAACCGGAGCUAAUACCGGAUAAUAUUUUGAACCGCAUGGGUCAAUAGUGAAAGACGGUCUUGCUGUCACUUCUAGAUGGAUCCGCGCUGCAUUAGCUAGUUGGUAAGGUAACGGCUUACCAAGGCAACGAUGCAUAGCCGACCUGAGAGGGUGAUCGGCCACACUGGAACUGAGACACGGUCCAGACUCCUACGGGAGGCAGCAGUAGGGAAUCUUCCGCAAUGGGCGAAAGCCUGACGGAGCAACGCCGCGUGAGUGAUGAAGGUCUUCGGAUCGUAAAACUCUGUUAUUAGGGAAGAACAUAUGUGUAAGUAACUGUGCACAUCUUGACGGUACCUAAUCAGAAAGCCACGGCUAACUACGUG